RNAcentral lists this transfer RNA (76 nucleotides) under Candidatus Endomicrobiellum glyptotermitis. RNAcentral describes it as "tRNA-Pro". It matches the Rfam family "tRNA". Rfam says of the family: Transfer RNA (tRNA) molecules are approximately 80 nucleotides in length. Their secondary structure includes four short double-helical elements and three loops (D, anti-codon, and T loops). Lineage: Bacteria; Pseudomonadati; Elusimicrobiota; Endomicrobiia; Endomicrobiales; Endomicrobiaceae. The record is from RNAcentral.
CGGGGCGUGGCUCAGUUUUGGCUAGAGCGCUCGGUUCGGGACCGUGAGGUCGCUGGUUCGAGUCCAGUCGCCCCGA